UAAGGAGUUCCCGUUUGGUUGGUUAAACUUGUCCUGAUAUGUGGAAGUCUCAUGAGGAAUUGUCACUGAAGAGACCCCAGAAGUUGAAGAGUCUGGAAAAUGAGCUCCAGAGUCCGAGGAACAAUGUUCAUGUGUCAGACAUCUUAUCUCUCUAAGAAUCUUGGAGAUUCUUUUAAAGGUGAAACUUUUCGGCUUUAGAUUAUAAUACUCUUAAAUAUGAAGUAUAUUUCCACCCUCUCACCUCCAUCUUCCUAGCCGAUAAAAAAGUUUCUGGGAGAAAGAGGAAAGGAUUGAAUACCUCAACUGAACUUAAAGGAGAGAGCAAAUGCUGUAUUUUGGACCAUGCUUAAAUGAAGAUGAGCUAGAAGAGGAUGAAACUGUUAAAAAUAUGUGAGUUUAUUUUACAGUUAAAGGAAUGAUUCAACUUUGUUAUAAUGGUAUUCUUCUAUGAAACUCCCUAGUAGGAAAUUUUC
Condylura cristata (star-nosed mole) is the source of this 473-nucleotide long non-coding RNA. RefSeq lists it as uncharacterized. The record is from RefSeq and is a predicted model, not a curated record. The transcript has 5 exons. Lineage: Eukaryota; Metazoa; Chordata; Mammalia; Eulipotyphla; Talpidae.